RNAcentral lists this ribosomal RNA (1974 nucleotides) under Triticum aestivum (bread wheat). RNAcentral's name for it is "partial small subunit ribosomal RNA". The record is from RNAcentral. Lineage: Eukaryota; Viridiplantae; Streptophyta; Magnoliopsida; Poales; Poaceae.
AUGGAUAAUUCUAUCACACCAUCCCAACUUCAACCAUCGGCACUAGAGGUGGAUAAGGAGGAUGGCAAGAUAAGCUUCUCCAAUAUGACGGAUGAACUAAAGUUGAUGGAUGAUUAUUUUGCAUCACUCCAACUACAACCAUCAUCGCUGGAGGUGGAGCAGGAGGAUGGCAAAGUGAGACAACAGAAGAAGAGGACAUCAACCAUGAGUGUGGUGACCGGGGUGAUGAGCACCCUUAGUGGCAAGCUUACCACUUUCAUCAACGAUGAGUACAAUAAGCGGAAAGAGGUAAGGAAGCAGGCGUCGUUCCUUGAGAAUGAGUUGAGCGCCAUACACGCUGCUCUUGAGCUGCCGGAGCUCAUGAAUGAGCUUGCUCCAGGGGUAAAAAAUUGGAGGGAUGAUCUCAGGGAGAUUUCCUAUGACAUGGAAAAUUGCAUUGAUGAUUUCAUCCGCCAAUUCGGGGGUGAGGAUGUUGAGGUAGGCUUUUUCACGGAGGCUGAUGAACUUCACAAGAGGUUGUGCGAGCUUCCUCGUAUUUCCAACCAGAUGGAAGAGCUUAAGACUCUUGCGGUAGAAGCAAAUGCUCGACGUGAGAGUUACAAGGUCGAUGAUUGCAAGCCUAGCUUUGGCCCCGUGGCUGUCGACGCUCGCAUGCCAGCGGUCUACCAGGAGGCGGCUAACCUUGUGGGCAUUGAAGGCCCUAGAGAAGAGGUUAUCCGUUGGUUGAUGAAUACUCAGAAAAAACUAAAGGUUGCGUCCAUUGUUGGUUUUGGAGGCUUGGGUAAAACUACACUUGCCAAACAAGUGUUUGACAAGAUCAAAGGGCAUUUUGAUUGUGUGGCAUUCUUUUCGGUUUCGCAGAGGCCUUAUUUGAGAGGGCUUCUCAAUCGCCUACAAUUGAAACUUGGGAUAAAUGUCUCUUCCCACGAUUGCGGGCUUGACGACAUCAUUGAAGAGCUAAGGAAGUAUCUCACAGAUAAAAGGUACCUUAUUAUAGUGGAUGACUUGUGGGAUCAAUCAGCCUGGAAUACUAUUAGUAGUGCUUUUCCAAAAAAUGGAAAUGGGAGUAGAAUAAUUGUAACCACACGAGUGGAAGAUGUGGCUGGUAUGGCCUGUCACAAUAACCGUGAGUGCAUUUAUACAAUGAAGCCCCUCAGUGAUCAGAACUCGAGAAAGUUAUUCUUCAAUAGGGUAUUUGGGCCCGAAGUUGUUUGCCCACGCUAUCUUGAAGACGUCGGGGCUGAAAUCCUGAAGAAGUGUGGUGGAUUGCUGCUUGCAGUUAUCACUAUAGCUAGCCUAUUAGCUACUCAACGGGGAUUAAGGAAAAAGUGGGAGAACAUAAGGAAUUCUUUGAGUGUCCAUUCCGCCACAAAUCCUUCAUUGAAAGAGAUGAAUAGUAUAUUAAACCUUAGCUACACACAUCUUCCUCUUCAUCUCCGAAGAUGUUUUUUGUACCUUGGUAUGUAUCCUGAGGACCACAUCAUAUGGCGAGAUGAUCUGAUUAAACAAUGGAUAGCUGAAGGCUUCGUCAGCAGUUUGCAUGGGUCAGAUUUGGAGGCUGUUGGCAGGAGUUAUUUCAAUGAGCUUGUCAAUAGAAGCAUGAUUCAGCCGGCAGAAACUGAGUAUGGAGAGGUGUUGUCUUGCAGAGUGCACGACAUGAUGCUUGAUUUGAUCCUAAGCAAGUGUGUAGAAGAUAAUUUUGUAAGUGUGGCAUACAAUUCUGAGGACAUGGCAAGACAGCUGCAUCUCUGCAAAUACAAGGUUCGCCGAUUAUCCCUGUGCUCCAAGGCUGUUGGUGGAGCAACAUAUGACACGGCUAUUGCUGCUAGGCUGUCACAAGUUCGAUCAUUACUGUUCAAUAAGCCUAUACUCCCUCUUUUGUGGUUCAAGUACCUCAGGGUUCUAAUCAUUUUGAAGGGGCACUAUGUGUCGGAGGAGAUAGUUGACCUCACCGCUGUUAGACAAUUGUUUUAG